GCCGCUGUGGUGGAAUUGGCAGACACCCGGGACUUAAAAUCCCGUGAGAGCAAUCUCGUACCGGUUCAAGUCCGGUCAGCGGCACCA
Molecule: transfer RNA, 87 nt
Filed under: Oscillospiraceae bacterium
Lineage: Bacteria; Bacillati; Bacillota; Clostridia; Eubacteriales; Oscillospiraceae
Description: tRNA-Leu
Rfam family: tRNA
About the family: Transfer RNA (tRNA) molecules are approximately 80 nucleotides in length. Their secondary structure includes four short double-helical elements and three loops (D, anti-codon, and T loops).
Source: RNAcentral